UACGUAGGGUGCAAGCGUUGUCCGGAAUUAUUGGGCGUAAAGAGCCUGUAGGCGGUUUGUCGCGUCUGCUGUGAAAUUUCGGGGCUCAACCCCGAACUUGCAGUGGGUACGGGCAGACUAGAGUGUGGUAGGGGAGACUGGAAUUCCUGGUGUAGCGGUGAAAUGCGCAGAUAUCAGGAGGAACACCGAUGGCGAAGGCAGGUCUCUGGGCCAUAACUGACGCUGAGAAGCGAAAGCAUGGGGAGCGAACAGG
This 253-nucleotide ribosomal RNA is filed under the name uncultured bacterium. Its description in RNAcentral is "partial 16S ribosomal RNA". It matches the Rfam family "Bacterial small subunit ribosomal RNA", at positions 524 to 776 of the family's 1533-position model. The record is from RNAcentral.